This 434-nucleotide ribosomal RNA is filed under the name uncultured bacterium. RNAcentral describes it as "partial 16S ribosomal RNA". It matches the Rfam family "Bacterial small subunit ribosomal RNA", at positions 29 to 507 of the family's 1533-position model. The record is from RNAcentral.
AGCGAACGCUGGCGGCAGGCCUAACACAUGCAAGUCGAACGAACCUUUCGGGGUUAGUGGCGGACGGGUGAGUAACACGUGGGAACGUGCCUUUAGGUUCGGAAUAACUCAGGGAAACUUGUGCUAAUACCGAAUGUGCCCUUCGGGGGAAAGAUUUAUCGCCUUUCGAGCGGCCCGCGUCUGAUUAGCUAGUUGGUUGAGGUAAUGGCUCACCAAGGCGACGAUCAGUAGCUGGUCUGUGAGGAUGAUCAGCCACAUUGGGACUGAGACACGGCCCAAACUCCUACGGGAGGCAGCAGUGGGGAAUCUUGCGCAAUGGGCGAAAGCCUGACGCAGCCAUGCCGCGUGAAUGAUGAAGGUCUUAGGAUUGUAAAAUUCUUUCACCGGGGACGAUAAUGACGGUACCCGGAGAAGAAGCCCCGGCUAACUUCGUG